CCAAGGCUAAAUACUCCUGACUGACCGAUAGUGAACCAGUACCGUGAGGGAAAGGCGAAAAGAACCCCGGCGAGGGGAGUGAAAAAGAACCUGAAACCGUGUACGUACAAGCAGUGGGAGCACGCUUCGGCGUGUGACUGCGUACCUUUUGUAUAAUGGGUCAGCGACUUAUAUUCUGUAGCAAGGUUAACCGAAUAGGGGAGCCGAAGGGAAACCGAGUCUUAACUGGGCGUUAAGUUGCAGGGUAUAGACCCGAGAA
This 259-nucleotide ribosomal RNA is filed under the name Escherichia coli. Its description in RNAcentral is "partial 23S ribosomal RNA". It matches the Rfam family "Bacterial large subunit ribosomal RNA", at positions 460 to 721 of the family's 2925-position model. The record is from RNAcentral. Lineage: Bacteria; Pseudomonadati; Pseudomonadota; Gammaproteobacteria; Enterobacterales; Enterobacteriaceae.